Non-coding RNA from Ixodes scapularis (black-legged tick), 82 nucleotides. The record is from Rfam. Lineage: Eukaryota; Metazoa; Arthropoda; Arachnida; Ixodida; Ixodidae.
GCAGUCGUGGUCGAGUGGUUAAGGCGAUGGACUUGAAAUCCAUUGGGGUCUCCCCGUUCAGGUUCGAAUCGUGUCGAUUGCC